GAGUGGCAUCAGGAUGUCUGAGAGGAGAGCAUGGUGUUUUUGCUUCAUUGGAUCCAUGCAGGUCUUGGAGGGUGGUGGCCCACUCUUUCUGGGCCAAGUAGAGGGUGGCUCAGACACCCCCCCUUCCUCCAGGCUUCUCAUCUGUAACUGGUGAAGCCCGGAAGAGCUUGUUGUUCAAGAGGAAAUCUUGUGUUACUUCUUUAUGAAGGACUCCAGCCUGGUGGAGAUGAAUGAGUCCUGAAGAUGGAAUCGAAGCUGUUUGGGCACAAACAAGGUUUCACUCUUGUUGCCCAGGCUGGAGUGCAAUGGUGUGAUCUAGGCUCACUGCAACCUCCACCUCCCGGGUUCAAGUGAUUCUCCUGUCUCAGGCUCCCAAGUAGGUGGGAUUACAGUACUUUAAUCAGCAUUUAAUGACCCAGUCGAAAAUUCAUUGUUUGGACCCAAGCACUGGUGGGAAAGGCAGGAGGGGAGGCCUGCCUUCCUUCCUCCCUCCCGAGCCCUACAGCAGGCCAUGGAGUGGUGAGCGAGUUCGUACAGUGCCAACCACAUUCCCAGAAACUUCCAGCAGAGGUUAAUCCUGCUCCUCUCAGGUGGGCUUGGCCCAUUCUCUAGACUUUGGAAGGUAAUGUUCUAUAGAGGCCUGUUCUGAAGCUUUACCAGGUCAAACCGGAGAAGAACCCAACAAGUAACUCAUCCCAGCCUAACUAUUCUUCAAGGGCAAUCAACCUACAGCAUCCAAGCACAGAGAAAUCAAAUCCAUGGAGAAUCUUCAAAUUAGGCUCAGAAUCCAUUUGGGUCAAUGAAUUUACUGUUAUUAAGAUCUUAGUUGUGUUCAACCAUGAUUUGACAUACCUUAGAGUGAGAAGAUAUUCUUCCUGGCCUCAGACUAGUUGAAGGUAGAGAGAGAGACAGGCCCUUGGGUGUGGGGAGACCUCUCCUGGGAUAAUACACACAAAAAACCAAGAGCUGCUCACUGUGGUGCAGGAGACAGCAGGGCCUGAAGCCAGAGGCUCUGUGUCCUUGAAUACAAUGUUUUACUCCUCUGACCCCUGUUACUGUGAUUUGGAGAGGCAGACAAUAUAGGAUGGGCUUUGCAGGCAGGGAGGUCCAGUUAUAAUCCCAGCUCUUACUAAGUUGGGUAAGACUCACUCUGAGACUUAGUUUCUUCUGUCAUCUCUCAAUAGAAUCAUAAAGGUACUUUCCUCUUAGUGUUGUUUUAAAAUUCAGUAAAAUAAUGCAGGCUUAGCACAGGGUCUGAUGUAAAUUUUCAAUGAAUUAUCGUUGUCAAUAUUGUUCUGGAAAACAAGAGGGCAUAUUAGAAGAUCAAAAGUACUGCCAAGCAUUGAAGUGCCAAUUCUAGAUCCAGUCUCAGCCCUCUGAGAAUGGAUAUCAUUGUUUUCAAGCCAUUCAGAAACCAAUGUGAAUUGAACACCUAGUAUGAGCUCUCUGAGGGAAGAGCCAAGUCAUGCAUUUUUUAUCUUAAGGGGUCUUCAAUACCUCUAGCCCAAAACAGUAUCUCCAUCAGGAUUCUUCUCUGAUAGUGUUCAUUUCUUUUUUCUCAAUGGAUGCCUUAAAAAAAAAAUCCUACAAGGAAACCUGUACUCCUCAAAUACACCACUCAGGUGACCAUUAAAUCAUUUACAUUGUU
Molecule: long non-coding RNA, 1648 nt
Filed under: Homo sapiens (human)
Lineage: Eukaryota; Metazoa; Chordata; Mammalia; Primates; Hominidae
Description: non-protein coding ZNF503-AS1:6
Source: RNAcentral